AAUUGGAGGGCAAGUCUGGUGCCAGCAGCCGCGGUAAUUCCAGCUCCAAUAGCGUAUAUUAAAGUUGUUGCAGUUAAAAAGCUCGUAGUUGAAUUUCGGGAUCAAUAUUUCGGUCAUGCCGUUGGUAUGCACUGUUAUCAUUGAUUUCUCACCUUCUAAAGAACCGUAAUGCCAUUAAUUUGGUGUUACGGGGAAUUAGGACUGUUACCUUGAAAAAAUUAGAGUGUUUAAAGCAGGCUCACGCUUGAAUACAUUAGCAUGGAAUAAUGAAAUAGGACAUCCGAUUCUAUUUUGUUGGUUUCUAGGAUCGAUGUAAUGAUUAAUAGGGAUAGUUGGGGGCAUUAGUAUUCAAUUGUCAGAGGUGAAAUUCUUGGAUUUAUUGAAGACUAACUACUGCGAAAGCAUUUGCCAAGGGUGUUUUCAUUAAUCAAGAACGAAAGUUAGGGGAUCGAAGACGAUCAGAUACCGUCGUAGUCUUAACCAUAAACUAUGCCGACUAGGGAUCGGAUGAUGUUAAUUUUUUAAUGACUCAUUCGGCGCCUUACGGGAAACCAAAGUGU
Molecule: ribosomal RNA, 560 nt
Filed under: uncultured Glomus
Lineage: Eukaryota; Fungi; Glomeromycota; Glomeromycetes; Glomerales; Glomeraceae
Description: SSU rRNA
Rfam family: Eukaryotic small subunit ribosomal RNA
Source: RNAcentral